GUGUGUGUGUGUGUGUGUGUAUAUCUUAAAAAGAUUCAUGGAUCAACGCAAUUUAGUCAGUUACGCAAGUUAAACUAAUUGCAGACAUAAGAGGGCCUUCAAACGAGGUUCAAAACCUUGGGACAAUUGUUACAAUUCUGUGAGAAAUGCCAUACAUUUAUCAAUCAUAUGACUAUAGCAUAAUUAUCCAUUUUCACUUUUGAAUUAUAUUGGACUGGGUGCCCUUAUUUUUUUUAUUCACUCCUCUACGAUUUAAUUAUUGCAUUAUAUAUUUCUUACUCUAAUCAGUGGCGAAACCACACCCAUUGUGCGGUAGGCAAUUGAUCACCUUAGAUUAGAUUAUGGAAUGAACAUAGAGGUCCACUUAUAUAGUUACAGUUUUGUCCUCCUUAAUGAUUAACCAAUGCCCACCAUAUUGUAACUUAAAACCAAUGCCCAGCUUCAACAAAAAUCCUAGCUUCGCCACCGACUCUAAUGGGACAAUUAACCAUAUGAAAUUCUGUCUUGGGAUGCGGUAUUGAUAGAAUCACCAUGCAUGUUAAUUUCUUUUCCAGUUGAGCAGCAAACUUUCAGCAUUGCAGAAAUUAGUGGAUGUAGUUUUGCAUGAUUUUCAUUAUAAACAGUUUUCCUGAACCAUAAUUGUUUGUGGCAUUGUGCCAACUCAUGCCUACCAAAUAUGUAAUACUUUCUGAUUCAAAAUAAUCUUUCCAUUGUAAAGGUGCAGUUGGACUUGAGGAAAUUCAAGGUAAACGGAAUUUGGUGAGAGAAUACUUUAGGAAAAUGUCAUUUUUCAAAUCAUGAUCAAUGUUGAUUAACUGGAUGCUUUGUGGAAUUGGCUUCUCAAACUGAAUGUAUCAAUCCAUUCUCAGGGGGUGAGGUAUGUGGACACCAAAACGUACUUUAUCUUUGGUUUGUGCAAAAACUUAUAGUUGCUUCUGAUACAUUAGUGGUUGAAAGUUUUAUGAACCAUUUUUGUAGUAAGCAGAGCAAAAAGUUUUAUGUGAUUGUCCUUGUUUUUUUCAGGUGUGAUAUUGGAAGCAUCAACGACAGUGUGACAACAUUAAGAAGCUAGGUUAUAGUUUCUGCACUGCUGGCCUAAGUCAAGAAUGCCAAGUACUAGGCCUUCUAGUCCUUGGAAUUCAGAAGAGUUACCUGUUGUUUUAAUUUGACUCCGUUUCAACCUGAAAUAUUUGUAUAAAUUUAGAAUAUUUCAAUUUUCCUUGAAAUUACUUCACUUUUUAAAUGGUAAGUGCAUUAUUGUAUGUUCCUUGCCAGAGAUCAAAUCAGUUUAACAUUUGGUAUUAUAAGUGGCUAUGUACAAGUUCCAUAAUGUUAAUGGAAAAGGCAUAAAGUAGAAAAAUAAUUGCAAAU
This 1371-nucleotide unclassified non-coding RNA is filed under the name Hevea brasiliensis (rubber tree). Lineage: Eukaryota; Viridiplantae; Streptophyta; Magnoliopsida; Malpighiales; Euphorbiaceae. The record is from RNAcentral.